AGUCGAGGGGCAGCGGGGCGGCAGGCUUGCCUGCCGUUGCCGGCGACCGGCGCACGGGUGAGUAACACGUAUGCAACCUGCCCGUGGCAGGGGGAUAAGCGGGGGAAACCCCGUCUAAUACCGCGUAACGCGGCCUAGGGACAUCCCAAGGCCGCCAAAGGGAGCAAUCCCGGCCACGGAUGGGCAUGCGGCGCAUUAGCUAGUCGGCGGGGUAACGGCCCACCGAGGCGACGAUGCGUAGGGGUUCUGAGAGGAAGGCCCCCCACACUGGUACUGAGACACGGACCAGACUCCUACGGGAGGCAGCAGUGAGGAAUAUUGGUCAAUGGGCGCGAGCCUGAACCAGCCAAGUCGCGUGAGGGAGGACGGCCCUACGGGUUGUAAACCUCUUUUGCCGGGGAGCAACGGGCGCCACGUGUGGCGCCACUGAGAGUACCCGGAGAAAAAGCAUCGGCUAACUCCGUGCCAGCAGCCGCGGUAAUACGGAGGAUGCGAGCGUUAUCCGGAUUUAUUGGGUUUAAAGGGUGCGUAGGCGGAUCGUUAAGUCAGUGGUCAAAUUGAGGGGCUCAACCCCUUCCCGCCAUUGAAACUGGCGAUCUUGAGUGGAAGAGAAGUAUGCGGAACGCGUGGUGUAGCGGUGAAAUGCAUAGAUAUCACGCAGAACCCCGAUUGCGAAGGCAGCAUGCCGGCUUCCUACUGACGCUGAAGCACGAAAGC
Molecule: ribosomal RNA, 717 nt
Filed under: uncultured bacterium
Lineage: Bacteria
Description: bacterial SSU rRNA
Rfam family: Bacterial small subunit ribosomal RNA
Source: RNAcentral